GUGCUCGCUUUGGUGGUACAUAUACUAAAAUUGGAACAAUAUAGAAAGGAUUAGCAUGGUCCCUACGUAAGGGUGACAGUUUACCUCCUGGAUGUUUUUGGUGAGUUU
Ochotona princeps (American pika) is the source of this 108-nucleotide small nuclear RNA. Lineage: Eukaryota; Metazoa; Chordata; Mammalia; Lagomorpha; Ochotonidae. The record is from Ensembl.